Molecule: long non-coding RNA, 734 nt
Organism: Oryzias melastigma (Indian medaka)
Lineage: Eukaryota; Metazoa; Chordata; Actinopteri; Beloniformes; Adrianichthyidae
Exons: 3
Source: RefSeq, a predicted model, not a curated record
GUAUAUUGUAAAAGGAGCUUUGUAGCUUCAGAGAACAAGCUGAGGGUCAUGUUACCAUGGAAACUGUGCAGUCCAUUGGUGACAGAGAGAAUUUAACACUUUUUUUAUGCAAACAACCUGUUUUUUCUUUAGUGUCAGUGGUGGACUUAUGUUGAUGAGAUGUCAGAGAAUGCCGGAUCGAGUUUAUGUUUUUGCUGCUAAACUUGUAGUUUUAGUCAAACGCUUCGAAUAGAGAGCAGAAAUCUGCCCUCAGGCUGUACGCUGUUGACCCCUCUGCUCUGAUGGAACACCUCUUUGAUCCGCCAAUCGAGAGACUACGAGAGCAGAAAGAUUAGCAGAAGAAGCAGGAAAAUGGCAGACAAAGCUCAAACUUGAGGGUCGUCGUCUGUUUCAACUUUUCUUUUAACUCAAGAAAUUCCCACGGGAGAACUACAGAGAACAGUGAUGCGCACAGAAAAAAAGAAAAGGUAAUGCAAACAAGCGUUGCGUAUAAAUGUGGAGUCACUUUAUAGAGGAGCAGCUCAGGCUCUGACUUCAACUUUCUUUUGCCCUUAAUUUUUUUAGGAGGUUUUUAUUGGGAUUUUAUGUAAUAAAAUCUCAUAUUUUGAUGACUCUGAGGAAGAAUUUCACUUAAUACUGGAAAUUAUAUAUUAAAACUUAAAAGAAGAAAGAAAAACAGACAUUAACCCUCAGUAGUCUGAGGCCUUUUUGACGUUUUAUCUUUCUAUUUUACA